GGCUGUGGGAUCUUUAGACCAUUUAACUAAACUGCUCAUGAUUCCUAUUGCUUUAUGCCAGCUUCCUGAACAAUGUAGCAAAAGGUUUUCAGUUCCUGGCUAUUCUUGUUCAUUUUCCAUACUCUAAUUCAAGGCGGCUGGGUGUGCUGAUGGCACCAGAACAAAAAAAGGACAGAUGUUUUUGCAGGGAAAGAAAAGCAUGAUACAAAUUAGGAAGAAGACAAAACCGACGAGGCGAAGUGGUCUGUGCAGCAGGCUGCGUAGAUGUGCUGUUGGGUAUUUCCCAGAAGUCCUGGAUUUUCCCUGAGUUUCUGUGGAUUGGGCAAAAGCUGGUCUGGGCUCCUGCAGCCAUGGCAAAUAGAGCCUCAUGGUGCAGUGCUGUAUGGUGUGCGCUGAAAACAAAGUGUGUUAUUAGAAGACUGAUUUGAAAUGUGCACUAUUAGUUUUGUGGAAGCAAAGUGGAAGCGCUGCAGGCACGGUGCCUGUGGUGUUAAAAUCAAAUCAGCAAGUACAAUUUAGGCUUAUACCUUUUGAAAUGUGGUCUGCUUUCUUUCUUUUUAAAAAAAACAACAAAAAAACCAUGUCUAGGCAUAGAUGGUCAAUAUGAAUCAAUUGCUACGAGGGAAAGAUUAUGAAUCCUGAGAGAGAAUAUUUGAGUAACUAGGUAUGUAGAGUUUUACAGAAAGAUAUUUUAUUUCUUCAAAUUUACAUUGGCCUAUGGAUAUAUGAUUUUCAUUGAAUUCAAACAAAUGGAAAAUCGAGCCAUAAUCAGUGCUUAAAGAGGUGCUGUCAACUUGAAUAUUUGUGAAGCUGUCUUGGAGAUAAUUGCUAGUCAUUGAUGAAACUGGCUCAUCUAUAUACAGCCCGAUUGGCACGUCUUGAGUUUUAGAACAACAUAGUUAAAAUAUUUUGUGAAUCUUAAAGCUUGUCAAUUCUUACAUGCAAACAUCACUUAGCAAGGAGAAGCUGCCUGUCUGAGGUCCUGAUCCAAAGCCAAUUAUAGUAAAUGGGAAUUUUUUCAGCUCUUGCUUUAACGGAUUAGAACUGCCUCAUUACACAGGUAUGGAAACUAUUGAUCUAAUACAGUCCAAUUCACAAUAAAAACAAAUAAAAAGGAGAACUUUUUCUCAGUGCUUUGUUACCAUUAUACUCUGUAAUUCUUUACAGUAAGUACAAAGUUCUUCAGACAAAAAUGUAUUUUUUUUGUAAUGACAGUGCUUCUUUAUAAUGAAAUGUCUAUAAGUUGUAUUUGUUUGUGUUCCUACAGCUGGAACUUUUUGCUUCCAAUGUACUGUCCUUUAUAAUGAAGAUGGUUUAACAAUGAUGUAUUUAGCUUUGUGUAAGAGUACACUUAGUAUUAUUAGUUUUAUUAACUAUAUCUGUUUUUUUUUCAUUGAGGGGCAAUAUAGAAAAUAUGGUUGCCUAAAACUUCUGAUGUCCUAUUUUGAUCAGCUAAGAAUUGAUGAUUCUCCCUGCCUAUUUCUGCUAUGUUGGAAGACCUAAACCUGGAGACUUACACGCUGUGUUCUAAACUUCAGAAAUACAAAGUCGCUCUCACACUUCAGUUAAUAGAGACUCUGCACAAUGAAUGCCCGGAAGCGGCAGAAGUCUGAGCAACUACACUGCUUGUUUAUCAUCUGCACAAUCUUUUCCUUAUGCUGUGGACCUUCUGAAACAGUGCACAACAUAAAGCACAGAUAUUCCAUCAACCAAAGAGAUCAAUUCCUCCAUAAACACUUUAACAAUUGAAAUGUAAAUGGACUGCUAUCACACACAUCUGCCCUAAAUGAUGCCCUGAAGUAUUAAAAUAAGGACAAUCGCUACUUAGUACUUGAAAUAUCUUGGUUUCUUUUUCUGGAUCCACGUCGUCAGGAGCAAUUCAUUGAAUUGAGGAUGAUCUCUACUAUGGCUCAUUGAUGGGUCUUGAGGUGACUUAAGAGUCCAAUCUUUGAACCAUGGACCUGUUUGCAAAAGUUCUGCCACGGAGAGUAGGCUGUAGGUUGGAAUUUGUCUUCCUUCCUUCCUCUGUCCUCUCUUUUCUGCUUCAAGGGCACAACACUUUACCCCAUGCAGGCUGCUGCUUGGUUGAGGUUGUAGCACCAUUAGAGUUCAUUAUCAGCCAGCUCCUCCCAGCUUUUGAGAGAUGCCUUCACUGUGUCCUUUUAGUGUUUCCUCUGGCCACUGUGAGGUCUCAGGCUGCAACUAAGGUGGGAGUUGAGUGCUUGUUUUGGGAGUUGAGAGUUGGGCAUCUACACAAGGUGUCCAGUCCAGUGAAGAUGGGCACAAACCUAGAUCCAAGUGUAGGAUUGUUGAAGUGCUUCCCAAGCUGUUUUGUUGCAAAACAAAUCCAGGAGAUACUUGGACCUUGAAAAGAAGAUAAGAUGAUUGUGCCUUUUGUCACGUGGCGAGAGGUUUUCCAAGCAAAGAAGAGUUCUGGGAGAAGAUUUUAGGACUCCAUAAAGAACUGAAGAGCAUCUUGGGAUACUUCAUGACAAUUCACUUUUUUUGAAAAACAACCUACAAUAAAUUUGUCAGAAGCUGCUCUCGUUCAUCAGUGGAAGAAACAACUUGACAUAUUGCACGCUUAGUGUAUAAUGAUGAGAAAUUAGAAAUAGCUUUAUGCAGGAAAAUUCCCUUCUUUAGUAUACUUCCACUUUGAAAAACUCGAAGCAAACUAGGCAAUACAGAAUUACCUGGGUGAGGUGCUAGCUGGUCAAGCAAUGAUAAUAUACCACAAUUCAAGUUCUGUCCCACUUCCUUUAAAUGUAUGGCUUUCUGUGGCUACAGCAGAAUAUGCCAGUGUUUUGUAAUCUGGUCAUCUUGUCUCCAACAGGAGUUGAUGUUAGCUGUUUUAGAUGCAGGUGGAAAAUGCAAAUAAUAUAUAUACUCGUGCAGUGCUACACGCCUGAUGAAAAUAGGAUCAAGAAUUUGGCAGUCAGCUCUGCCCUCUAAAUUCAAGGGCUCAGCAUGAAGGCAAGUGGGUGGAUCAGAUAUAAGUAAAAUUGACCAACUUUUUCAUGAUUUCAGAAUUUUGUAACUGUUGUGAUGCCCUGCAUUUUCAUGAACAUCCCUGCCACCUUCAAAAUCCUAAUAUAGAUUUUCCUGAGAGUGUUACAUGUUUCUUGCCUUGCAUUUGCAGUCUCUGUUAAAAUCCUUGCAUAUCUCUCAUGGCUCCGCAGGACAAGACCACUCUUUUUCUAUGGGUCUUGCUUUUGUAAACGUAUUGCUCUCUGGUCUUUCGUGACGUACACAGCUUCCCACAGCAGUCAUGUUGGGGAACCUGUUCUAUAUUAUUAUACUCAUUCAGAAGUGUUAAGAAAACUGUCUGCACAACCCACCCAACACACAAAGAGAAAGCAAGGGUGAUGACAAAAGGGGUUCUUGUAAUGCCACUGUCAAAGGAUGAUUGUUAGUGUUAACAUAUGCCUGAUCUAAUGUUCUUCAUCUAAGAACACAGAGGAGCUUUUAUAGUUUGUCACUAUAUUUAGUCAUACUAAACUUAUUUUUGUUCCCUUUGAAAUAAUUGGUUAUGUGACCCAUACAAUUUUUUUCCAUGCUGUUUUUUUCUCAUAACUAAGGGAAGUUCAGAUGCAUAAAGGUAGUCCUCGUCAGGUCGUUGUCUGGAAGAAACCGUAUUGUGGAGAACUGCCGCUAUUAUUUGUGCCUAAUUGUUUAGAUAAAAAUUUGACCCAGAGUUGUUUCUACUGAGAUGCAGCACAGAGAUACUCCUUUCCUGGGGCUGCUAAGGGAGGUAAAGUCACCUUUUGGUUUCUUGGACAUACUCCCCUCUUCCCUCAGUCAACUAACUUACAACAGUGACCUGUGGGCUGGGUGGAGUGAACUGGAGUUCCUGCAUCAAUGAGGAGCAUGGAAACCCCUGCCAUGGUGCCCCUGCCCUGGCACACUACCAGGGGCUUAUUUCCCAGAAAAUUGUGAGCCCUCUUAUGACCCCUGUAUGCUGUGGGAGUGGCAUGUGAGAAACAAGGCAGUGAUCCAUUACCUUCAUUUAAAUACCAGUUUAAAAAGCUAUAUGUGUUUCCCAUGUUUAAAGUGCUGUUUGGUACUUUUGGGGGAGAGAAGAAAAAUUCCCCUGAGCAGAUCAAGAUAUCUGUAGCUCUGUUUCACACUGGUGCUAGUCCAGCCAAGCUUAUUUUCAUCCAUAGCUUUAAUGGUGACCCCAUCACCUGCCAAUAUAACAAACACUGAAUUAAAAGGAAGCAGCGGCACAUGUUGUACAGGACCGCUAUGUGAAUAACAAGCUUCCCCUAUGUGUUUCUGUUAGACCUGUGAACUAGCCAUUAAGGCACUUGCAUCAUGUUUCGAGCUCUGCACUUUCUGUGAUAUUAAUGAAGCCACUUGAAACACAGAGGUUAAAAUGAUUUCAGUUUUGAAAAUGAGCUGCAGGGCACAACUUACUGGAACCAUGUAGCCCUGGUCCCAGUCUGAGUUUGAGCAUGUGGUGUGCAACUCUGUUAUGCCACUGUAAGAGCAAUGGAUAAGGCAUGGCAUUGGGAGCCAGGAGACAUUGGCUCCAUUUGUAGAUCUAGUGCUAGCCUGCUGCGUAACUUAUACUAGAAUGCCCUGCAGCUCCAUUUUCCUAUCUAUAAAAUGGGAACAAUACGUUGCUUUGUGCAAUGAUUUGAGAAUCUACAAGAAAACUGUGUAUCAGCUAAAUGUUACAUGAAAAAGGUAUAUCUGCAGGCAAAUAACAGAAUAUGCCUUUUUGAGUCAUUUUGCUGGAAUAGCUUGUGCUCCUGAAUAUUUAUAGAUGACUGACUUUUGUUGUUGUUGUUUGUUUUUUAAAAACAAAUCUUUUACCUAACUAAGAGACCUGAAUGAAAGAAGCAGUGUUCAGGGAGGCUUAUUAAUUUGUGACCCUGCCUGCAGAAAAGUGGAUCAAUAAACUAAUAAGACAUAAAACCAUA
Long non-coding RNA from Alligator mississippiensis (American alligator), 4925 nucleotides. RefSeq lists it as uncharacterized. The record is from RefSeq and is a predicted model, not a curated record. The transcript has 5 exons. NCBI's taxonomy places the organism in Eukaryota, Metazoa, Chordata, Crocodylia, Alligatoridae.